AAAGAAAGCAAACAUUUACUAAUAUACAUUUACUGAGAAUGAAGCUUAAAUUGAUGUCUAUAGAGUGUUUUGCCCCCUCAUAUUAAACUUUUACACACUAUUAAAGUUAAAAUAUUUUAUAUUCUCUGAACUCACAAAUGCUAGCUGGCCAUUUUAGUUGGAGGAAUGUAAUAAAUAAUGAGACAACGUUGGUAAAUUCAUUCUCAAAUGCAGUGUUUGUCAUUAUUCCUUUAUGAAAUUAGAGCUAUAUGCAGCAUUUUACUUUUCCACAUGUGUAUAUUAAAUAGAAUAUUCAAGAAAUGACACCAUCCUUUUAUUUUUCUUGUAGUUUCUUAAAGUUUUAACAUUUUUACAUUUAGAAUUUUUUUUACAUUUUGUAAUCAGGUUGUAUUUCUUAAUAAUAUUAUUUUAGUAUAGUAGAAAACAGUUACGUGUCUUAUUAUCAAUGUUCACAUCACAUACACACUAUCUUAUUUUUGACCUUAACCCAGAUACAUGUGCAGACUGAUGUCCAAGUAUCAUCAGACUUUUUUCCAAAGGACAUUCUGAAAAUAAAUUACUGAAAGGUCUUGAAGUUUAGUAUCUCUACUUUUCCAAAAGAAACACCACUAAAAAAUCACAAAAAAAUUUUAUAAAUUCUACUAAUUAUUACUUUCUAAUGAUUUCUCCCCACUGUAAGAGAAUAUAUGUAUAUAUAUUUUCUUCUGUCCUUAUGUAUAAAAUAUACUUUGGAGUAAUAAAACUGAUAUUCAUAUAUGAACUAUUAUAUCCUGUAUUUAUCUGAAUGUUCCUGAGUGUAUAGAUGUAAUUAUUUAAAACUAAAAUAUAAAUUCUGUCCUAAUAAAUAAAUACAAAAUUUGAAGUUGACUUAAUGUAUGUGAUAAAGAUUCACUCAUUAUUCUAGUCCAACGUUAGUAUGAAGUAUUUCUAGUACAUUAUCUUUUUUCCUAUCAAUUUUCCUAGGAAUUAAAGUAUAAGCCAAUAAUUUUGUUAAUUUUUAAACAAUUCAAAUUUUAAAUAUGAAAUUAUUUUCAUAUGUAAUAAGUGUAUGUCCUUAAAAUACUAAGUAAUUCAUUAGAGACUCCAUCUUGUAUAAUAUUUAAGCAUUGAAAUCUAUAUUCUUAAAAAAUCUCACUGACAUAUUUUAAUAACAAAAACCAGCUUUCUUUACUAGGUACCUUAUUCACUUGUAAACAAAUUUUGUGUAGGAUGUGGGUUAUUGAUACAAAAUGCCUAUACGUUGAUACCUGUGGAAAUUGACAAAUAAAUAAAUGAACAAACAAACAAAAAUGCCUGCAGAGCCCUAGGAGUAUUUAAGUUUCCCAAUCUUUAUAUUGCUGUAUUUCUCUAGGCACAUUAUAUGUGGCAUUCUGUCACCCAAAUAAAUGCAAAACAAAUAAGAGAGGUUAUGAUUUCUGUGCACUAAAAUCACCAGAAAAUACAUUUGUCUUUAAAAAUUAACUGAAUGUAGAUAGAUAGAUAGAUAGAUAGAUAGAUAGAUAGAUAGAUAGAUAGAUAGAUUAUAUCCUGUUGCAUGUAGAAAACAUGCUGAAAUUAUUCUGGGAGGGUUAAAACUCCAAAACAAACAAACAAAAAAAAAAUUGAGUGAGUCAGUGUUAUAAAUCAAGUUAAUUUGCAACAUUAUUUUUGAGUUGAAAUAUUAAGGGUUUAACAUAUUUAUAUCAUUAUUUUGAGGGCACCAAAGUAACUCUAAAUUUUAAAUCUUCCAUGUGUCUUUAAAAUAAACGCAUUUGAUUGUUUUCAUAACAACGAUAAUAUUAAUUAUAUCUUAUAUUUAUGUAAUACUUUUUAUUUUAUAUAACAAGCUUCUAUGCAUUGUCUCAUCUGAUCCCCAUAUCUUUAUUAUUAUUAUUUUGCUGUAUGUAGCAUUACCACUCUCAGUCUAUACAUAAAAGAUGCUAAGUUACCAGAGUUUUUACAGAUAGUAAGUGGUGGAGCAAGAACUGGAGGAUGAAUCAUUUCAACCCUAGUCUAGAACUCUUGCUCCCAUGUCACAUGCUAACUCGCUUCUCAGAGUAAUCAAAUAAACUGACUAUCAUAAAAGUCAGAACUUGGGAGGAAAUGUGAACAUAUGAAAGUGUAUUUUCAUAUAUUAUCAACUUUUUGAACUCUUAUUGAGGCCAUUGAGUAAAAAUAAUUUUCUGUCACUGUAAAUGCAGAGGGAAUGUAACAAGUAUUUGCCCUGAAUCCAUUAUUCAGAAAUAAAUGAAACAGCAUAAAGUCAUGCAAGUGCACUGUUGGUGACUUUCCUUUCCCUAAAGUUGGGGUGGUUGAAGUGAAUUUCCUUGCUCUUUCUCCAGGUGCUUGUACUGUUCGCAUGCUGAGCUGCACAGCUUUCAAAGGGCUUGCCCUGGGAUAUGGCUGGGCUAGAUUUAGAAGGAACUGGUCAUUGAAUAGCUCUGGUAAUUCUUGCAUCUCACAGUUAUGCGGUUGACAGCUCCUUUCAGUAGGGAAAGCUUGGGUAUAUUUCAAGGUGAUUGUAGUUUUGUCCCUCUGGCAGCAAGCUGCUGCAACCAGCUUAGCCCAUUAUCCUCCUCUCCCACUGGAUUUAAGCCUGGGGAGAAAUCUGGGGCUUUUGUCAAGAUAGAAGGUAAGAGAUGGAUAAUUAUUCCCUGUGUGUGCUCAAAAAGAACAGCACUAUAUCAUAGAGUAGCUUUCAAUUACUGAAAUGGGAUUGUCUGAAGUUCCAGUGGCUUAUAAAUUACUCUUUGUAAAAACCAAUAUUUAACAUUAUUGUAUUAGUGAUGUGCUUUUAAUAUCUCUUUCAUGUAAUAUCAUGUAAUAAACUUUAAGGUUUAUUACAUGAAACUUUGCAAACAGUGUUUAACACUCAGAGAAUAAAAUGCAUUUCCAUUUUUGUGGUUUUAUUAGAAGAUUUAAAAACAAAUGGCUGCUCUGAAAAAAUUGAUUAAAAACUUCACUGUACAAUUGACUACAUUAUAAUUUUUCUCAAUUUGAGUUUCUUAAAUCUCAGGGGCUAGUACUGUAAAAUCAACGCAAAGUAAUUACAAAAUUUAAAAUUCCAGAUGUUAUGAUUACAUACAUCUUGUCCUUUAAUAUCCAUUCUGUCAAAUACCUUUUAUAAACACUGCUACUUAACAAAACACAUUUGGAAAAUAAAAUUUUCACUAAUUCUGAUUAAUUAAUUAGGUAAAUCAGUCUUAGCAUAUUUAGAGGGCAGUAUUUUCAGUUUGUGAUCACCCAGGAGCUCAACAUUACUUUCACUCUCCUUUUAAAGGCAGAAAUUAUAGUCAGAAAUGUGCAUUUCAAUUUGUAGCUGACAGUUUAGGGUUAAGAUAUGAUUCCAGGUAACAGAAGCCAAUGAGAGUACACCCAGUUGAUGUUUGUGACAUCAUCUUCCAGUCAGAGUACAUAGAACAGCUGAGGUAGCGUUCAGUUUCAGCACAGUGCCAUUAUGAUGGAUGUUUACAUCUCUUCAUUGAGAGCCAAUUAUCUCGCUUUUGUGUGAGGCCCAAGGAUCACUCAUGCUUCCAGGCUGCACAGAGCACUGUUGGAUCUAGCUGAACGAAUUGUUUUCUCUGUCUCUGGUAAGGGCUUCUUCUGUUUUACCUUCUCUUUUAAAAUAAAGGUAGAUGUGUCUUACAGAGAAAAUAUUAUAAGGGUCAAAAAGGAUUACUAUCUGGUAAGCUUUUAUUCAGGAAUGUUUAUCAUUAUUUAAAGGACUAUGGAGUUAGCAAAAUGAAUUAAAAAAAGAGCUUGCUAACGUGUACCUGACAAACUAAUUUGCAGCAGAAAAUGAAAAGCAGGUAAAUCCGGCUUCGCUUUAGAAAAAGGAAAAUACUGCUAUUAUAAGACCACAAUUUUGAAUGUGUUUUUAAAACUGUAUAUGUGUAUGUAUAUCAUUCUGCAUCAUUUCUCUAUAUUUUUCUAUUAGUAUUAAAGAAUAGUGGUAGAAAUGGUCAACCAAGUAGUGUUGCUGUAGACUUAAAAUGAGUCAAAGUUUCUAAUUGUUAAAUGGCAGUUCUUUGGGACAGUUUUCCAAAGUUGCAUUUAUACAGGGAAAACAAAGUUUACCAAGUGAGCAAAGGCUCUGGCUUCUGAAAUAAAGUUGUAGGACUUUACAUUCAUAUUUACCAUUUAAAUAUUUGGAAAUAAUAAUAAUGAAAAAUUUUAAGAAUGGAUGUAAGGGUUUCUUUGUGGAAUUAAGAGAUAUUAAAAUCAUUUAUUGCAUUUUUGUUAUGCUUUUUGGUGCAUAAUAAAAUACUGUCUUUACAUAGCCAGAAAAUAUUUAAAUCCUAAAAAUAUAUCUUUAUAUUAUUUAAUCAUUUGUCAGUAGUAACAUUUAUGCCUGAGGAUCUUGUUAUAUUGUAGCAAAACAAAUAUAUUUAGAGCUGUUGAACUGCUAUGGAUAGGUGAUUGAAUGUGACAGAGAACCUGAAAAGUCACUACACUAAAAGCUUUCAAUUGACUGAGAAUGUUCACAUGAUAACAAAUGAAGAAUUCAAAAACAUUUGUAUCCCCUCAAAUGUUGUCUAUUAUUAUGGUAUAAAGUAGCAUACUGUUGUUAUUUUAAAGUUGGAUGCAGUUAUUUAUGAAAUAAAGCCACAGAAAAGUGUAAUUAAUUGUUAUUUUGUUUAACGUGCUCUUUUAUUUUAAUAGCAUCUCCAUUCCUCCUAGGGUUAUAAAACUUUUGAAUAAUGGCUUGUUCAUCAAGUGUUGAUGUGCUUAUGCUUUUUAGAUUUAUUUUUACUGUGCCUUUAACAUAGAAUAUUUCUGCCUUUGCAAACUAGUAAUUUUGAUAAUUAAAACUCAGGAUUUGGAGAUUCUCGAGUUGAGCUUUAAGACAGCAGGGGUUUUUCAGCUAUGUCACACUCUGUGUCUUCUGCUAGCCCAGUCCUGUUUGGCAGCUCUAGACAUUACUGUUGUUCGAAUUGUCUCCUUUAGUCCAUUCAGGUCUGAACAAAACUAAGUUUAUAGACAGUGUCAGAUGUGUAUUAAUUAAAUCUAAACAAGUGAGCUUAAUGUCUCAGCCACAACAAUACGUAAUCAACAAAACCUCAAAAAGCUUCCAAUAUACAUCUAGAGUCAAUUUUUUGCUGAGAAAAAUUUAAGUUGGUAUAUUCUGUGAAUUUCAAAAUUUAAAGUGAAAUCUAAAAGUUUUGGAUAAUAUGAGCUUGAAAGCAUGAGUCACUGCUUUGAAAUGAAUUUUUUUUCUUUCCCUAAGUACUCUAUAGUGAAGUUGAAAAACCCAGUGGUACUGACUGUGUCAUUUUCACAGGUGAUUAAACUUAACUAAGGGAAAAGCAUUUGUCUCCUAAUAAUUAAUUCUUUAAAAAUCUAUUUAUAUCAUUCUGUCAACAAUGAAGAAAAUCUUAUUCAGCUAAUGAAUGAUCUAGACAUUUAAAUUGCAUUUUUUUCUGUGUAUGAUUCCUUCUUUCAGUAUUAGCCUUGCUAGUCACAAAUGCACUACAUUGAUGGUGACUGCAGUGUUAAAUUGCUUAUCUCCUUCUUUUCCUUUGGACAACUUUAUACAACGCAAGUACACGAGAUAUGAGCUACCUAGCUAAUGGACUUCAUUCAUUUCACAAAAAGUUUUUUAUUAUUAUUUUUAAUUUAAGAGAGGACAUCAGUGAUAUCAUAGCAAUUUCCUAUGCCACAAAGUCCCUAGGAAGGCUUCCCAGUACAGGGUGACAUAAAUAAAUGAUGUGUGAUGUUACUUGUACUGCCCUAUUCUCUGCCUCCUUUUAAAUACAUAUGUUCUUUAUCUGACUUAUGUAACCAGUAUUAAGAAGAGAUGGAAAAAAAUAGCCAUGAAAAGAUACUUAUUAACUCUUCUGAAGUUCUCUGCAUACUCCAUAUGCUGGGGGUGAUAUAUUUUUUCUUUUGAAAAUGACUCCUCAAAUUAUGUUUUUACCUAUUGCAAAAUAAUACUCUUUUGUAUAUUUUAACACUUUCCUAGAAUUUAGUUUAUUGUAAGCCCCUUUAUUAGUUUCAUGUAAUGAUUGAAUGCACAAUACUGCUUGGUUUUUUAGUUUCUCAGUUCAAGCACUUGAAUGAUCAUGAAUUCUAUGCUUGUCUUGACAGUGGGAAAUUCUGGGCAUUCCAGGCCAACUUUUUACUUAAGCCAAAAAAUAUAGUAACUAUGAUGUCAUUUUGGACAGCUUGGACUUAUUGUGUGAAUGUCUGGAUAUUUAGGUGUAUAUUUUAGGUACAUAAAUGUAAUGUUUUUAUGCAUUUUAAAGUUUAAAAGAUCUUUUUAUCAACCUUGUGUAUAUAUACAAUUAAUUCUUAACAAUUGAUAUGUGAUAAAGUAAUUGAUAUUAUGCAACUAAGGAAACAGAGACUAAUAAUUCGUAACUUGUUGCCAAAGAUCACCCAGUCAGUAAGUCAGUAAAUGGAGGAGCUAGGACUCAGAAACAGGUUUACAAAUUUCAGUGCCCCAAAUCAAUCAAUUUCUCUUUCUUUCUUUCUUUCUCUUUCUCUCUCCCUCCCUCCCUUAAUACAGCCGGUUAUCUAAUCAGUCACUUCUCUUGAGUAUCUACUUCGUGCCAGGCACUCUUCUAGGUACUUGGCAUUUAUAACUGAACAAUGUAAAAAAAUUCUUGUUGUUGCACAUAUUAUUUUUUUUCUACCUGAAAAGCUCUCAUCUUUAAUUUACUAUAAAAGUAGAAUGUAUUUUAAGGUGUGGCUAAUUAAAACCAAAAACUUUAUGGGAAAUAGGAAACAUAAGUUAAAGGAUACAUUCAUUUGCAUUUCUUGUGUUUCUGUGUGUCUCUAAGUUCUCAGGUAUGUUUUAAUCUAAAAUAGAUUUUUACAUUAUAUUUGGGUUUUGUGAAAAGUCUAUCAAUUAUUUUAUAACUCAUACUUGAUUCUGAAUGUGGUCACUGAAAUAUUAUAAGAAUAAAAUAGCUUGUGGUAGAUAUCAAAACAGUAUCAAUCAUUUUUGGACAAAGUUAUCUUGUAUUUAUAAUGUAUGUUCAAGCAAGCUAGCUUUAUUUUUAUUGUCUAUUUUACAAUCAAUUAUUUGCUGGUAAUAGUAUGCCGAGUUUACAGUUGUUUGACUUUGGACAAGGUUCUUUAUAGUAUAAGUAAAAUAAUAAAAAAUGAAGAAUUUUUUUAUUUUAAUUAAAAACUUAAUAUCUCCCAAAUGAUAGUAGUUUGUGUUUGAACAAGCAAACUAGAGACAAUUUACUUUUUAAGGCCAAUUUUUUCACUGUCUUGGUAGCUACUAAUGCUAGUUCCUAGGACAAUGGCACUAAAAAGUGAUAUUUAUUCGCUAUUCAACUUAUUUACAGAUACUCAGUGAUUUAAAAGAAAUAAAAAGCCUAAAAUACAACCUCCUCAGAGAAAACCAAUCCAUACGUAGAACCUAUCAGUUGAAGAUAAAUUAUUUUUAGAUAGUAUCAUUUAAUUAGCCACUGAAGAAUCUGUCUAGUGACAUACAUAUAAAUUGUACAACAAAAGUUAACUGAACACACUUGAUUUGGCUCAAAAUAUUUUACUGUGGUCCUAUUGCAUAAUAAUAAAACAAUAGCCCUGAACUUAGUCCCUUUAGUAAUGCCCAUUUGAAGUAUGCAGAAUAAGACAGUAAAAUUAGAAUUCAAUAAUUGAAAGUACGAAUGUGAUUUUUUAUCUGCUUUCUCUCUCUGCCUCUGAAGCUAUGACAAACGAAUGUGCCCUUUUCAGGGGUUAAUAAAUUAUGAAGACUUUUCCACUUCUUUCAGAGUUAGAGACAGAGAAGCUUGUUCACAUUCGAACUGCAUAAAAUGAAAAAAUAAUCUAGAGCUAUUAAGCAGUAGAUGUUUAAUAGCACUAAAGGUACUGGGCCUUGGGUUUAGCUAUUUUUAACAACUUAUAUCCAUGAAUUAAUUUUAAUAGUGUUUUUGAUGAGAAAAUAUAAAUGGACAACAGUACUUUUUAAUGCUAAAUUCUGCUAAAAGCAGAGAAUUUGUUGUUCAGUGUUUGAUACUGGUCUCAGUGGCAUGGAACUGAGCAUAUCAUAAAGGUUGUCUAGGUAAAUUUUCACAAGUAAGUGGCUCUCUACCUGUGUGCCAUGGCACACCAUAAAACUCUCAAGGGUAUGUCCUAACAUUUGGGUCAAUGUGGAAAAUGCAUUUUGCCUAAAACUGAGUAUACAUAUUGGUGCUGCAGUCAGUCAGAUAAAAUAUGGAGCUGAGUGAAACCAAUAAUAUGGGGAAGAAAAUGACACAAUUUGCUGUGAUGAGAGGCAAGGUGUAAAGUUAAGUUCCAGCAACUUUUCUCCAUUUGAAGUACAGAAGAGGCUAUGAUCAUGCUAGAAAACACUUUUUCUCAGCAGAGCAAGAAAAGAGCAGAUGCUUUUAAAGACACUUUCUUUUUUGUUUGCGUGCACUUGUUGCAUGUAAGAAUAUGCAAUAAGUGCGUGCAAAUUGUAUUCAGGUAGUCUGGGACCAGGUGUGUCUAAUUAAAACCAAAAACUUUAUGGGAAAUAGGAAACAUAAGUUAAAGGAUACAUUCAUUUGCAUUUCUUGUGCUUCUGUGUGUCUCUAAGUUCUCAGGUAUGUUUUAAUCUAAAAUAGAUUUUUAUGUUACAUUUGGGUUUUAAAUGUUGACUUUUAAUAUUUUUAAAAGUCUGGGACCAGACUACCGGAAUACAAUUUGUUGUUCCACCCUUUUCAGUCUUCAUGCCUUCAUAAUAAAAAAAAAAAAAAAACGGGAAAUAAAAGUACCUACCUCGUAAGUUUGUUGUGAAAAUUUCAUGAACUAAUCUUAUAAGCAUGGAGAACAGUGCCUUGCAUAUAGUAAAUGUUCAAUUACUAUUGCCUCUCUUUAGUAUUUUCAUUGUUUUCAUUGUUACUGACUUGCUUAGUAUUAUGUGGCUGUGUCUUUUAAUUCAUUCAGGAGUUUCAUUAAAAAUUGCUAUUCACUAACAUGAAAACUCUGGUAUAGUACAAACACAAUUUUGGGAACCAAUCAUACUAAUUACUUUUGAAACUAGAUGCUGAUUGUAGAUUUUGUUGGUAAACACGGGUUAAUCAUUUACUGCAUAUAAAACUUCUGAUGUUUUAAUUUUAACUAUUGUAAGAUAAAAAAUGAAUUAAAUAACUUUUAGGAACUUUUCUCAAAUCUAAAAUGAUAUAAUAUGGGAUAUCAUAUACAUACAAAUCUAAGUACGUAAUAAAAUAGAAAGUCUUAUAGCUUUACCUUUUAUCUUUUACUCUGUUUUACUUUGCUACUUUUUAUUCUAUGAUUUUUCAUAAGUCAAUGAGAGUUUCAAACCUGGAGUUAUGAAAGUUUUAUUUGUCUGAUAUAUGUAGAGACCAACAGUCUGCUUUUCAACAGUCCAUUGUCUCAUAUUGGUGAUGAAGUGGUGAUAGAAUUGAGUUAAAGUUUUUCAGUUCUUCUUUACUCAUGACGUUCUGUAUUCUUAACAUAGUCAUUAGAGGCAAAGUAUGUUUUUAUUUUAAAAAUCUCUCUCUCUCUCUCUCUCUCUCUCUCUCAGUGUGUGUGUGUGUAGGUUGCUUGUUUGUUUUGUUUUAAUGAAGCAUCUAACAUGUACUUAAUACUACCUCAAGAGAGAUACAAAUAGAAAAGGAUAAAAAAUGUAAUGUUUAAAUUAGGUUAUUCUUCCCCACUGUUUAUAAUCUUGUAGAAUCAAGGCAUUAAUGAAUGUGUAAAACAUUUUCUAAAAAUCUAUUCAUUCCACUAAGGUAUUUUCCCUUCACUUUUAAGUGCUCUGACUCAUUCUACGAAUUAUUUAAAGCUCAGCCACUCAACUACUGAGCACUUAUGGCAUGCCAGCAGUGAACAGAGCACCACCACUGCUCUCCAGGGGUUCAUGGUCUAGUGACCAACACAAAGUUGGAAAUAAAUAAUUACAAUCCAUUGUGAUAAGUUUUACAUUAGAGAUAUGCACAGAGUGCUCAGGGGACACCCACAAGGAGUGAUUUAUUCUAUGUGUAAAAAUCUGGAAAAUCUUUAAAAAUAAGCUGUCACUUAGCUGAGUUUUGGAAAAUUAGAGACUUUUUCACGUACAGGUGGGCAAAGGAUAUUUCAGAUAGAGGGACCUCAUUAAGAACAAAGUCAAAAUGAGAAGAGAAAGCACAGUGUGUUCAGUUAAGGUCAAGUUGCUUAUCAUAAGCAAAGGCAGGAGUGAGGGAGAGCUAAAAAUUUGCACCAAGGUAUCAGAACAGAUUCUAAUUGUAAAUAACCAGUAAGGACAACUGUCAUAACUGCAUAACUUUAAUCCUUGGCUGGAUGUUUAAAUUAGGUUAUUCAAAUUUUAAAUACUCUAGAAGGGCUGUGAUGAGAUGGAUCACUGUGGUUUUGAGAAAAUGAGGAAUGCUUCCUAAAAGAGGUAAGAAGCAGGAUUAUUUGGCACUAUUUAAAGCAGUCUGACACAUCAAAGGAACAGGAAUGGUCAACACAUUCUACUUCAUUAAUUUCCGCUAACUUUACUAGGUAUAUCAAUCUAUUAAGUUAUUUUAAAUAAUGGAUAAUGUUGGAUGGGGUGAUUAAUUACUCAAGAAUAGAAAGGUGGGUCACACGUGACAUAAUUGAGAGGAAUACCAGAGUUUGGGAAAGAGUUUCUGAAGUCAGUAUUUAUUCACUAUUUAUGAACUUGAGCAAACAUGAACUAGGGAUAGGAAGUGUAUGAUGCUGAAUGACAAAAUGCUUUACUAUUGGGCUGGGGUCAGUGGGAAAAUCCAGGGAAAGGAACUCCCCUUCUUAUAGAAUAACUCAGUUCAUUGCACUUAUUUUUUAAAUUAUCUGAACAACAUUAUAUAAAAGUUAUAUAUUAAAUAAUUAUUUUAAAAGAAAACAAUAAGCAUUGUGUCAUUCUUUUCUUGGUGUAAAAUUUUCUCAAGUGGCAUGUGAUUUACAGUGAACACAAAUAAAUAAUGGGGGAAGAUGGAAAGAGGUGCUCAGCAUGGGAACAGAGCAUAACACUAGCUAGUUUCACAGCUGUCUCUUAGGCUGUCUCCCAGAAAUUUAUUCUAAGUUUAUUCACUUAUUUCAUCAUGGUGAGAUUCCGAUAUAUUUAGAUGGUAUCCAAAGAGAAUUAGGCUUUAUGUAUGACCGCUCCCAUCUACAAUGUUAUAGGCAUUCUGAUAGGUGGCGAAGUUACAUAAGGAUGGUGGUGGUGGUGUAUCAAGAAAAUGUGUGUCAUAGCAGAGCACAACAGGCAAUAGGACAGAAAAGGCAUGACAGAAGAGGCAAGACAAUUGCCUAUCUACUUGGAAGGGAACCGCUUCUCACUUGCCUGUAUCUUUAAUAUUAACUCUCAGAGCAUUCUUGCAUAAGAGCGUGCAAGUGAUAACUUUGGCAUGAGAAAGAGAACAUGGUUCUGAGGGUAGAAAAUAGGAUAAACUGAGGGGCAUUAGGGAGGUGGAGAUAUAGAAAGGUAAAUAUUUGGGGGAAAGAACAAAAAAAAAUCCACAGACAGGGUUGUAGUCACAAAUCAUAGAGGGUAUUUUACUCUCUUGAGGUCAAAGAUUCUCCCUAAUUCUUUUCUGAAUACCUAUGGCCUAGCAAAGUGCUCUGCAGAAGUUUGCUGAAUGAAUGUCUGGCUGCCUGAGAGAAGGAAGGAAGGAAGGAAGGAAGGAAGGAAGGAAGGAAGGAAGGAAGGAAGGAAGGAAGGAAGAGAAACUAGGUUCUUUCUUUGUGUACUUUAGACAUGCUAUGCUUGAGAUGUCCACUAAAGAGCAAAUAAGACAUGUAGGUAUUGGUUAUCAAGAAGCCUUAGGAAAUUCCUCUAUUUAAAAGUGGUGAAGAGGAGGAAGAACAAACAAAGGAGACUCAGAAUCAAAGAGCCUUUGAAUAAGGAGGAUAACUACAUCUAGACUAUUAAAACUUCAGAUCAGGAAGGAAAAGAUGGUGCUGAGGGUAGAAAAUCCUCUGAAACCUCUAUGCAGGAAAUACAAAUCUGAACAUGACACUCCUUUCCCCUCUUCCCCAUAAUCUUCCUUCCAUUCCCUUGUGACCUAAAACUCUUCAGUGGCCUUCCAUUACGUACAGGAUAAUAACAAAACUAGUAUGCUUCAUAAGGCCCAGCAUGAUGGUCUCUGUGUUCCAGCAACAUUUACUUUCUUUUCAUCUCUCUUACAAUUUCUUCUUCAGUUCCACCACUGAGCCUUAGUUUAUGCCAUUCUGUCUGGCUAGCAGGUUCCUCUGAACCUUUUCCACAUGUUUACUUCAAAUUUAUUAUUCAAUUCUCAGUUAAAGAAGCACAGCCUUAAGGAAUUCCUCCUUGACCUUCCUGAUGAGGCCAGAUAUCCCUAUUACAGGUUCUUAACACAGUAUUUAACACUUUCAAAAGUUUCCAUUGCAGGCUUUCUUGGUUGAUUAAAUUGUUAAUGCCAGUCUUCCCACGAGACUGUAAUCUUUAUGAAAGUAAUGGCCAGAGUCUACUCUGAAUCAGCACUGAACCUCCAGUGUCUGGAGUAAGGAAAUCAGCUAGAUAUAUAUGGUCAAGUGAAUAAAUGGUGUGAGUAAACAGAAGAUUGCAAAAAGUGUAUUUACACCUGGGAACAACAAAGUACUGAGAUGCUACUGAAUGUUAAUCAUAGAAAUAAAAUUUGAGUGGACUUUCUUAGAGCAUAAAUAAAAUGCAUGCCCAUAUCUGCAGCCUCCUUCCCACUAAUAUGUGUGUAACCCUAUAACUAAUUAUAUAAGUAUUUAAGUAAGAGAACAGAUUGUGCAUUUUGAGUUAUGCACAGAAUAAUAAAAAAUAUUGUAUCCUAAUGGUCAUUUGUAACACACAGAUAGUUGAAGGAUAUGAAGAGAUACAGACUCAUCAUAGAAACUGUGUAUGUGAGUGUGUUUGUACAAAACUUGUACCAGGGUAUAACUGAUGCUACUAAAACUAGAAAGAAUGUAAUUGAGAAUGUGAUGUCCCAUCAUAUGAAAGGGUGCAGAAAGUCUCAAAAUAUAGAACAAAGAAAAUUGCACUUUAAAUUGCAGGGAAGGUCACUGGUGGCCUUAAAGAAAGUAGUUUGAGAUAUUAGAUAGCAAGGAGUCCAGCAGGAAAUUGAUACUUAGGAGUUGAAGUCAUGUUCAAGCAAUUUACAACAGAAAAGGAAUAAAGACUUGCUGGUCAGAACUGUCAAAUAAUAACCCUUUCAGGAAUGGAAAAAGUUGAUUUGGUGGGCAGAUAUAUGAAUUAUUAAGUAACAUUUACCUUUGUAAAUUGGCCUUCAUAACUUGUACAAAACGUAUUUAUAAUAAAUAAAGUGUUUAUAGAACAUAUAGCUACGUUUAAAAAUUUCAAGCACAGUUAGAACAAAAGAUAGCAAUAUAUCCAAAAAUAUAGAAAAUUGUGGGAGUCAUUUACUCAGCAGUUAAUUUAUUCUUUUAAAAUGACUCUUUCAGUAGCCAUUUAUAAGCAUGUUUAUAGAUGGUAAACUGUUCAUGAGUGUGUAGGCAAAUAAACAAAGAAACCUUCUGGAAUGAAGACCUAGACUCUCUAGAAGGUUGCAGGAUACUCUAAGAAGCAAUGGUUGACGGGCGCCUGUAGUCCCAGCUACUCCGGAGGCUGAGGCAGGAGAAUGGCGUGAACCCAGGAGGCGGAGCUUGCAGUGAGCGGAGAUCAAGCCACUGCGCUCCAGCCUUGGCAACUGAGCGAGACUCUGUCUCAAAAAAAAAAAAAAAAAAAAAAAGCAAUGGUACACUAGGAGAUAUUCAUGGCCUGCUAAAUAGAAGAGCUCUUAAACUCUAAGACAUUGGAGAAAUUAACUGAAACCAAAAGAGAGAAAGGUAUAUUUUAGACACAGCUUAAAAAUCGGUUGGAUUGGAAAAUACUACUACACUCUAAUAUAUAAAUAUGAAUGUACAAUUAAUGUGUAUGUAUAUACAAAUUAUUUUAAUUUAAAUAUGUAAAACUGUAUAAUGGUGUAAACUUUUGUUUUAAAAUUUGGCUACACAUUGAGCUAUUUAUUCUGGUAGCUCUAUGAUGAUUAUAGAUUUAUUCUCAAGAAAUUUUUGAUUUACUUAGAAAAAAAUCACUUUAAUUGAUUUGUUCUUGUUGUAGAAGAGGGCAAGAUAUUUUUGAAUAAUCUAAAGAGGAGGAAAAUUAUAUUCUACCUCUUUCCAAAAUAGUUUGAAAAACAAAGUAACAGGAUUUGAGUACUAACCCUAGGAGCUAACAUGGAAGGAGGACUGGGAUGCACCAUGGCUUCAGAGAAAUUGAGAUCAAAAGGGGGGUUUUGAAACUGGAACAGUUGGGCACAAUACUAUGCCUAGGAAACAUCACAGCCACCUCUAUGUGACAAAGAUACUCACUCAGAAAUCUCUUGUAUUCGGGCUAAACUGAAGAUGACUAGACCCUAGAAACCAGACAGAAGCACAGAGACCCAAAAACAAUUUGAGGAUGCCCAUGGGGCCAAAAUAUAAAGAAGUUCAAAAAAGGAGGCAGAACAUGGUGUCUGAUGUCUGAUAGGAGGAAUCUAGGCAAGAAGACUGAACUCAGAGACAAGAUUGUAGUUUCCAGGAAGCCUAGAAGGGCAGAACCUUAAUCUAGAAACCUGGCAUGCUAACCUGGGACCCAGUAACUGGAGGAGACCUAAUUGCUCCUCUCUGUUUUUGGCAAGAGAACUCGAGGGCUGGACGGAGUGUCUGAGAUCAGGGAGUUGUAGAACCUUGGUGGAUUUCUACCCAUAGGAUGAGUUGGUGUUUCUAUUAGUGAAGGGUAGAUGGCUGAUCUCACCAUUUGGUGUAUUUUUUUUAGUUUAGAGUGGGCCAUUAUAGUGUGGGCUUAGGAGUCAGUUGGCUAGGCAUUAAUUCCUGGCUUCCCACUUAACCAGUGUUGUGACUAUGAGCAGAGAAUUUAACUUCUCUGUGCCCCAGUUGCCUCAUCAGUGGGAUGAAGUGAGGAUCAAAUGAGAUAAUGCAUACCACCCACUUAAUACUGCACUGACACAGUACAUGCUGGAUAAAUGCUGUCCCUUAUAAUUAUUAUUACUCACCCAUAAACCCUAUGCUUCAGUUCUGCUGCUCCUGAAACUCACCUCUGGGCAUUGGCACAUGUUCUUUCUGUUUGAAGAACUCUGCUAUGUCAAUUCCUUUUCAUCGUUACUGGUGGUGUUUGGGGUUUCUUCCUAGAACCUCUUUGAUGAGUGAGGUGUCCCUCUUUUGUGCUCAUAGAGCAUUUUCACUUUCCCUGUAAUGUAUUUAAAUUGACCAUUGCCUUCUCUGUGUCCCCCAUUAGCCUCUAGGCUUUAUGUGUUUUGGGAUUUUAUAAGUUGUAUCCAUUGCUGUAUCAGCAGUGCUAGCGCAGAGUAGAAGCUCAUUAAAUGCUGAUUAAAUGAAUGUAUGAUGAGAGACCCCAGACUUAGAUCCCUUUAGGGAGCCAUAAUCUGAAAGGAUUUCUCUAUUAGAGUUUAAUUUGGGGAGCUCUAUUAGAACUUAGUGGUAGAGCCAGAACUAGAAGGUCUGAGGUGAGAGAUAAAGCUACUUUUAGAAGGAGGCAAUGAAACCCACCCCUUCACUAAUCCCUGUCUGUCUCCUGCCCCAAUGGUGUUGGUAAAACAACUUACAUCCUGAGAGUUUCUGACACAGCCCUCGAGCUGCUGUGGCAGUCACCAUCUUUCCUAAUCUAAUUGGUAAAAACAUGCCUGGAGGGUAGUCAGCAAAUGACCGCCCAGCAUCAUUAAACAGUGCAAAGCAUUCUAGAAAGUACAGGAUGUGUGUUGCUUAUGUGCGUGUAGGCGUAGGCAUGACCUAGGCAAGAUGCUGCUGUUCUUAGUAUUUAUAAGCAUUUCUCUUGCAUUUCUUUCAUCUUAAUUCACUUUUUUACCUUAGUGAGAAAAAUGACAAACACCACCAGCAGCAGCAUAGCCUUAGAAGUCACAGGGGCAGGCUGAAUAUGGCCAGUCUUUUCUCCUCCUGGACUCUUCUCACUGCAUGAAAAAUGUAUUUGUUUUAUAUUGCUGUGUAACAAGUUACCACAAAUUUAGAUGCUUAAAGCAAUAGACAUUUAUUAUCUUGCAGUUUCAUUGGGCCAGUGAUAUGGACACAGCUUGGAUAGGUCUUUUAUUCAUGGGUCUCUGGAGGCUGCAAUAGAGGUGUCUACUAACCUUUUUUUCUCUCUGGAGUUCAGGGUUCGUUUUCAGACCCAGGUAGUUUUUGGCAGAAUUCUGUUUCUUGCAGCUGUAGGAUGGAAGUCCCUGUUUUCCUGAUGGCCAUCAGUAGGAUACCACCCUCAGAAUCUAUAGGCCGCCUUAGUUCCUUGCCAGGAGGCUCUUUCAUGGGCUUUUCAUAAAAGUGAAGCUUACUUCUUCAAAGCCAGCAGGAGAAUCUCUUGUUUAAGUCUGCUAAAAUGGAAUCUUACAUAGUCUAAUAAAAUCAUGGGAGCGACCCAUCACCUUUGCCUUAUUCUAUUGGCUGUAAGUCACAGGUUCUGCCCACACUCAAGGGGAGGGAAUAAGACAAGAAUGUGAAUCAUUGAGGGUCACCUCAGGGUGUGUCUACCACAGGGAACAAUCACAGAACAUUCUCAGAGACCUCUAAGUGACUGUCAGCUGCCACUGCCAAAUCAUUUGUUAGAUAUAUUUUAUUAAUUUCCCUAAGUUUGCAAGUAGCAGAGCUCACCCAACAAGAAUAAUUUUGAUUGAGAAAAAUUUGUCAGUAACCAAGAAAAAUUGAUUAUUGGAGCCAGAUGAGAUGGCCAGAUGCCUACCCUGUGAGCUCAAAAAGAAACUGUACCCUCAUGUACUCAUUUUGAGUUUGGAGACCUGGAGAAAUGGCUGCAGUGUUUGCCACUAAUUAGACAAUUUGGAAAGAGUACAUGUUGGGUUAGAAACCCCUAUUUUCAACCCAUUAUUGAAGAAGAGGAAAGUCAAGAGUCACAUUGCAGAUUUUAUCACUUGGGGCCACCUUAAUGUUAAUCUGCUUAAAAAAGCAAAAUAUCUAAAAGGUGUCUUGUUCCUGGGCUCUGUUAGUAGCUAGAGUCAGUUCCCUUAACUUGCAUCGCUGAAAGUUCUGAAGAGCCGUUAGAGCCCAUAGGGAGCUGGGAGGUGUGUGUUGUAUGUGUACAUGUGUGUGUAUAUAUAUGUGGUGGGGAGUGGGGGAUUAGUGCCUUAUGCAUGCCAUUGUAUAAAGGUAAGGUUGGAUGGGACAGCUAGGUUUUCAGCCACCCCCUUCCUCCAUUUUUCCCUCUCUUUUAUUCUUUCUAUUUGCCUUUAAAGACCCUAUUUUUUCUACUCUAAAGUACUUCCCCGGACAAUCAAAUAAAAUCAUAAAAUCGGUAAAGGCUCUUGAAACUUUAGUCCAAAGUCAAUGUGUCCUGAUAAACAGAAAGUACAGGAUUUAAAAAGGAGUCAUUACAUGUGAAAUAUUCAAUAGAAGAAAUAGCAAAAAAGAUACUUGUUUAAGGGUCCAUGCCUAUUCACAUGGACAAAGUAUCAAAAUAAAGGAAUCUGAGAGGUCAUUUAAAUAAAUGAAAUGAUGCAGAUUCAAGGGAAAGAUAGAUUGAACCUGAGGCAGUAUCUAUGUUUACCAAAUCCAGCUUCGUGGCGAGUGAGCUGAAGGGGAAUGUCUUACACACCUUUGCAUUGCAGGAUCCUGCAAAUGGAGAUUUUUUGUAACGCGUUCUCUGGAGUUAGACUGAAUGGGUGCAGCUCUAUAAUCAAUGUCUGCCUGUUAACUGCAUAAAAGGGAACUUGUUCUACUUGAGGUUGAGGCCCUAGGCAGAAUUUAAAUCUCACUCCAAAGCCCUUAAAUAUUUUCCUAGAACCUCAGCCAUGUGAAGGUCCCCAGCAAAGGGAGGCAACCGGGCAGUGUGAUUGUAUAGUGAAAAGAUGGAGGUUGCCAGUAGAGUGUGGAUAACUUCUGAGACACUGGGAGGCCACCAAAGGUAAAUACAGUGGUAUUUUCUCAAUUUCCCCCCCUCCCCUAGUCUCAGAUGAUUUGAGAGCUGGAUUGGCAAAGCAGGCUCAGGCAAGGCUCAGGAAGAGUGGCUUAUUGGGCCAAGUCAGACAGGUAGUGAGUAUGAAGCUAAAGGCUUGUCAGCAUUGUCAGACCAGGCCUUUUGACACAUGGUUAACCACCUGAAGUGAAGGUUGGAAGAAGUUACAUUGCAUUUUAGGAGGCACUUUAUAAAGUGCUUUCCCACAUAAAGCAGUCAAACAGGUCUAGUAUCUGAGGCCAGCCUGCAAUCAACUGCUGCUAAUACACUCUCUACUGAUCUAAGCGAUCUUUUUCCUCUUAGGCGAGACCACUCUGCUCCUUCUAGACUUUCAAGAAUGGUGUCAUGACCCAAUCUACAAAAAUGUCAGAACCCAAACAAUUUGGAGCAGUAAUGAAUUACAAGCUAUCAAACAAAAUAAUGAGGAGCACAUGUUCCACUGAGAAGAGAGGGAUAAGAUCUUUUAAUCAAUAAAGAAAAGUAAAAGCAUUAAAAAUGCCAUUAUUAGAGUAAAGUAAAAGAAAAAGAAUUAUAAAACCUUUGUUGUAUGUCUGGAUCUCCCACUGACUUAAUUGUUAUAGCUUACCUAAAAUCCUUUAUACUUUAUUUUUCAAACUUUAUAAAAGGAUGAAUAACAUUUCUCUUCCUACUUUCCACAUAAGAAUGCUCCAAGGAUUAAUGGGAUUGUUUUAUGAAGAUUUUUGAACUUCACUUGGAAAAGAUAUCUGAAAGGAUAUGAAAUGAAUACAUAUUAAUUUUAAUUGAUAUUAAUUUUAAUUGUAAAGCAUGCUUCUUUGAAACACAUUUAUGCGUCAGCUGAAGUAGACAGAGAGAGAGAGAGAGACGGCUGUGGCUUCUUAAAUUAAUUUAAGGCUUUCUUAAAUUUAAUUUAAACCUUAAAUUAAAUUUCUGUGUAAUUUGGCAUUUUACAGCAAAAGUAGUCAUGUUCCUUCCUCCACGAGCUUUCCUAAAUAAAAAUUUUCAUGUUAUCAAA
Molecule: long non-coding RNA, 18857 nt
Organism: Homo sapiens (human)
Lineage: Eukaryota; Metazoa; Chordata; Mammalia; Primates; Hominidae
Exons: 2
Source: RefSeq, a predicted model, not a curated record